Molecule: ribosomal RNA, 405 nt
Filed under: uncultured Terrimicrobium sp.
Lineage: Bacteria; Pseudomonadati; Verrucomicrobiota; Terrimicrobiia; Terrimicrobiales; Terrimicrobiaceae
Description: bacterial SSU rRNA
Rfam family: Bacterial small subunit ribosomal RNA
Source: RNAcentral
UCGAGAAUUUUUCACAAUGGGGGAAACCCUGAUGGAGCGACGCCGCGUGGAGGAUGAAGGCCCUCGGGUCGUAAACUCCUGUCAUGCGGGAACAAGAAAGUGAUAGUACCGCAAGAGGAAGAGACGGCUAACUCUGUGCCAGCAGCCGCGGUAAUACAGAGGUCUCAAGCGUUGUUCGGAUUCAUUGGGCGUAAAGGGUGCGUAGGUGGCGAUGUAAGUCUAACGUGAAAUCUCGGGGCUCAACCCCGAAAUUGCGUCGGAUACUGCGUUGCUAGAGGAUUGUAGAGGAGAGUGGAAUUCACGGUGUAGCAGUGAAAUGCGUAGAUAUCGUGAGGAAGACCAGUUGCGAAGGCGACUCUCUGGGCAACUCCUGACACUGAGGCACGAAGGCUAGGGGAGCAAACG